RNAcentral lists this ribosomal RNA (963 nucleotides) under Triticum aestivum (bread wheat). RNAcentral describes it as "partial small subunit ribosomal RNA". The record is from RNAcentral. Lineage: Eukaryota; Viridiplantae; Streptophyta; Magnoliopsida; Poales; Poaceae.
AUGGCGCUCGUUCCUCUCCUCCUCUCGCUGCUCCUCGUCUCCUGCGCCGCGCAGUCGCCGUCCGCGUCCAAGGCUGCCCCGGUCGGCGCCUUCCCGCCGCAGACGUUCGCCGCGGCGCCGACAACGGUGAAAUCACCGCCGCAGGCCUCCUCGCCGUCGCAGGUGUCUGCAGCGCCGCCGACGUUCUCGGCCGCCUCGCCGUCACAGGUGUCUGCGGCACCGCCGACGACCUCGGCCGCCUCGCCGUCACAGGUGUCUGCAGCACCUCCGACGACCGUCGCUGCCUCGGCGCCACAGGUGUCUGCCGCGCCGCCGACCGUCACCGCCUCGGCGCCGCAGGCUGCGGCGGUAGCUCCGCCGACAACGGCUGCCUCGCCGCAGUUUGCUGCCGCGUCAGCUCCGACAAAGAGCUUCGCCGCUGCACCACUCACAGCCACGUCGCCUGCGGCGUCCACUGUUGCCUCUCCGCCAUUCACUGCCACCUCAUCGCCACCCGUCUCUGCACCCCCUCUCGCAGUGACCGCGGCCCCUCCGGCGAUGCCACCCACCGUCGCCGCGCCGCUUCCGGCCCCAGUGGCCGCACCCAUGGCAACACCACCGGCCACCGCGCCUCCCGCAAUGGCUCCGUCACCCCUGCUCAUGGCUCCCGUGGCAACGCCCAUCGCCACACCAACAAUGGCCCCCGCACCGGCGCCCAUGUCACCGGCACCGGCGCCCCUUUCACCGGCACCGACACCGGCUCCGAUCAUCGCCCCGACUCCGUCGCCCACGAUGGCACCGGAGCCGGCGCCGGCCAUGGCGCCCGAGCUGUCGCCCAUCAUGGCCCCUUCGCUCUCCCCGCUCGGCUCGCUGUCGCCCGCGUUGGCGCCCGUGGCAGAGGAGGACUCGGCGGCCGGGAGCGCGCGCGCCGGCGUCGCCGCGCUCGUGGCCAUGGCGGCCGCGGGGCUCGUGGUCUUGUUUUAA